UGGGUUGCCUUGUCAGGUUGAUUCCGGUAACGAACGAGACCUCAACCUGCUAAAUAGUCACGAUCGAUUUUUUCGGUUGGCCGACUUCUUAGAGGGACUGUUGGCGACUAGCCAAUGGAAGUUUGAGGCAA
This 131-nucleotide ribosomal RNA is filed under the name ice core clone 102-17. Its description in RNAcentral is "partial 18S ribosomal RNA". It matches the Rfam family "Eukaryotic small subunit ribosomal RNA", at positions 1302 to 1453 of the family's 1831-position model. The record is from RNAcentral. RNAcentral also lists the same sequence under 12 other names.